UAAGAAAUAGGUAAAAGAAUACCAUAGAAAUUUGACUUCUAAAUUAAGAGUCCAUAUCUCUUUUUCUUAAUA
Molecule: transfer RNA, 72 nt
Filed under: Ophiophthalmus serratus
Lineage: Eukaryota; Metazoa; Echinodermata; Ophiuroidea; Amphilepidida; Ophiacanthidae
Description: tRNA-Gln
Source: RNAcentral